Molecule: long non-coding RNA, 904 nt
Filed under: Citrus sinensis (sweet orange)
Lineage: Eukaryota; Viridiplantae; Streptophyta; Magnoliopsida; Sapindales; Rutaceae
Description: long non-coding RNA (CSIN_LNC002444)
Source: RNAcentral
UCAGUUUAUAAUUCUACAAAAACUUUUUCAGAGAAGAAAAUUCGACACUAUAUAAGAAUGGUGCGGAUGUGAUUGCCUACUCCUCGGACUCCGGCCUCCCAUUGGAACAAAGAGAAAAUCAAGUUGGAAAAAAAAAAAGAAGAUCAAACAGUUGAUAUCUAGUUUGGAGAGUUAAUUAAUUUGGUGCUAAAAUGGAGAAAUUUAUGGAAGUCUUUUAUGAUUCUCAUCAUGAUUCCUCUUCUUCUUCUCUUGAUCGUCUCUUCAAAUGGCCAAGAACAGGUAAUGAAUGGCGUGGAGAUCGAGAUGACACCCAUUAAGCUCCAGAGGAUGUGGGGUGUGAGCAAGAAACCGUUCAUGAAUUAUGAUCACCGCCGCCAGUGCCCCGGCGCCACCAACUGCGAAAUGGUAACCGGGCUGAGUCCCCCUAAGAGCUAAUUAAGUCGAUAUGAUAUAAAUUAAUGACUCAUGCAAAGUCUGAUUACAAAAAAAAAUAUAAAGAAAUAAGAUGUUGCCAUUGAUUAUUGAAGUGUCAGAAAGCUAUUAACCCCAAGCUUUACACAAACACUCCCCAAGAUCCUUGAUCAGAUACUACAAGAUGCCUUUUACAGAUAAUCUGAAUUACUUAACAAAUGCUAUACGAAUGAACAAGAUGAUGAUUGAGUUUAGAAACGAACAAAGAUUUGAAAUACAAUUAAAGAAUCACAGAACACAGCUAUUAACGUGGUUCAUUGAAUUUACACAUCCACGGAGGAACAAAUUCAUCAGUUUCAUUGAUUCUUCAAGUUUCUUUUUACAGAGAUUACAGAGCAUGUAUCAAGGAACAAGAAAGCUUCUUUAUCUCAAGCUAACUCUCUCACUAGAAUGCUCUAGUUCUCUCUAAAUUUCACACACUCAUCAGCUGUGU